RNAcentral lists this long non-coding RNA (226 nucleotides) under Lathyrus oleraceus (garden pea). Its description in RNAcentral is "Pisum sativum (pea) long non-coding RNA (PSAT_LNC037543)". The record is from RNAcentral. Lineage: Eukaryota; Viridiplantae; Streptophyta; Magnoliopsida; Fabales; Fabaceae.
UUCAUGUCCAUGAUUCAGGUUUUGUCAUUUUUCUAGUUGACUGAGAGCGGGACCCGCUCAAAAGGUUAGGUAUUUAGGAGUGUGUUGGGUGGCCAACUGACUUCCUUUUAUUUUGUGUAUGUGGUCGUGUCUACGUCUCUAAAGCUCACUCUCGAUAGAGAUUUAUUGUGUCUGAGUAUUCAUGAUAGAUUGGAUUGUUGGAUUAAUUGGCUUGUGUUUCUUUUUC